CUAGCGAGGUGAAAGGUGCCCGUACCGCAAACCGACACAGGUAGGCGAGGAGAGAAUCCUAAGGUGAGCGAGUGAACUCUCGUUAAGGAACUCGGCAAAAUGACCCCGUAACUUCGGGAGAAGGGGUGCUCUUUGGGGUGCAUAGCCCUGAGGAGCCGCAGUGAAUAGGCCCAGGCGACUGUUUAGCAAAAACACAGGUCUCUGCGAAGCCGCAAGGCGAAGUAUAGGGGCUGACGCCUGCCCGGUGCUGGAAGGUUAAGAGGAGGGGUUAGCUCACGCGAAGCUCUGAAUUGAAGCCCCAGUAAACGGCGGCCGUAACUAUAACGGUCCUAAGGUAGCGAAAUUCCUUGUCGGGUAAGUUCCGACCCGCACGAAAGGCGUAACGAUCUGGGCACUGUCUCAACGAGAGACUCGGUGAAAUUAUAGUACCUGUGAAGAUGCAGGUUACCCGCGACAGGACGGAAAGACCCCGUGGAGCUUUACUGCAGCCUGAUAUUGAAUUUCGGCACAGCUUGUACAGGAUAGGUAGGAGCCUUUGAACCCGGAGCGCCAGCUUCGGGGGAGGCGUCGGUGGGAUACUACCCUGGCUGUGUUGAACUUCUAACCCGCACCCGUGAUCCGGGUGGGAGACAGUGUCAGGCGGGCAGUUUGACUGGGGCGGUCGCCUCCUAAAAAGUAACGGAGGCGCCCAAAGGUUCCCUCAGAAUGGUUGGAAAUCAUUCGCAGAGUGUAAAGGCACAAGGGAGCUUGACUGCGAGACCUACAAGUCGAGCAGGGACGAAAGUCGGGCUUAGUGAUCCGGUGGUUCCGCAUGGAAGGGCCAUCGCUCAACGGAUAAAAGCUACCCCGGGGAUAACAGGCUUAUCUCCCCCAAGAGUCCACAUCGACGGGGAGGUUUGGCACCUCGAUGUCGGCUCAUCGCAUCCUGGGGCUGUAGUCGGUCCCAAGGGUUGGGCUGUUCGCCCAUUAAAGCGGUACGCGAGCUGGGUUCAGAACGUCGUGAGACAGUUCGGUCCCUAUCCGUCGCGGGCGCAGGAAAUUUGAGAGGAGCUGUCCUUAGUACGAGAGGACCGGGAUGGACGCACCGCUGGUGUACCAGUUGUCUUGCCAAAGGCAUCGCUGGGUAGCUAUGUGCGGACGGGAUAAGUGCUGAAAGCAUCUAAGCAUGAAGCCCCCCUCAAGAUGAGAUUUCCCAUAGCGCAAGCUAGUAAGAUCCCUGAAAGAUGAUCAGGUAGAUAGGUUCGAGGUGGAAGCGUGGCGACACGUGGAGCUGACGAAUACUAAUCGAUCGAGGACUU
This 1298-nucleotide ribosomal RNA is filed under the name Bacillus badius NBRC 15713. RNAcentral describes it as "bacterial LSU rRNA". It matches the Rfam family "Bacterial large subunit ribosomal RNA", at positions 1623 to 2925 of the family's 2925-position model. Lineage: Bacteria; Bacillati; Bacillota; Bacilli; Caryophanales; Bacillaceae. The record is from RNAcentral.